RNAcentral lists this ribosomal RNA (253 nucleotides) under uncultured bacterium. RNAcentral describes it as "partial 16S ribosomal RNA". It matches the Rfam family "Bacterial small subunit ribosomal RNA", at positions 524 to 776 of the family's 1533-position model. The record is from RNAcentral.
UACAGAGGUCUCGAGCGUUAGGCGGAAUCACUGGGCUUAAAGCGUGUGUAGGCGGAGUGCUAAGUACCUUGUGAAAUCCCACGGCUCAACCGUGGAACUGCUUGGUAUACUGGUUCUCUUGAGCCACCUAGGGGCAACCGGAACAAACGGUGGAGCGGUGAAAUGCGUAGAUAUCGUUUGGAACGCCAAUGGUGAAAACAGGUUGCUGGGGGUGUGCUGACGCUGAGACACGAAAGCCAGGGGAGCAAACGGG